AUAACAUUUUCUGUUUCAGCAGUUGUGGACAUCUGAUGUGAGUGUGCAAGACCACUGGAGAAGAAGUCUUGAAAAUAAAAAAAGGAUGAAAUCCUUCUGAGGUGGGUGCUCAUUUUGCUGGUCUCCUGGAAUGACUCUUUGCAUCACCUAGUCACAGAGCUGCAGGAUAUGAAAGGAGCCUCAAAUGCUCUUCCAUCAAAGGCCAAAGAGAUUGAGGAAGACAACAAAGUACUUCAGGAAGGCAUGGAAACUAUAACUGGCCAGAUUCAUCCUGGAGUCAAGGAAAACGUGACUACUCCUUGUGAUCAGGACUCCCAUCGCUGCAGUCAAAAGAUGAAGAUGGCCACCAAACCACUUUGA
Molecule: long non-coding RNA, 360 nt
Filed under: Bos indicus x Bos taurus (hybrid cattle)
Lineage: Eukaryota; Metazoa; Chordata; Mammalia; Artiodactyla; Bovidae
Description: lncRNA (ENSBIXG00005010416.1)
Source: RNAcentral